Molecule: ribosomal RNA, 253 nt
Filed under: uncultured bacterium
Lineage: Bacteria
Description: partial 16S ribosomal RNA
Rfam family: Bacterial small subunit ribosomal RNA
Source: RNAcentral
UACGAAGGGGGCUAGCGUUGUUCGGAUUUACUGGGCGUAAAGCGCACGUAGGCGGAUCGAUCAGUCAGGGGUGAAAUCCCAGAGCUCAACUCCAGAACUGCCUUUGAUACUGAUGAGCUUGAGUCCGGAAGAGGUGAGUGGAACUGCGAGUGUAGAGGUGAAAUUCGUAGAUAUUCGCAAGAACACCAGUGGCGAAGGCGGCUCACUGGUCCGGUACUGACGCUGAGGUGCGAAAGCGUGGGGAGCAAACAGG